GUUUGACUGGGGCGGUCGCCUCCCAAAGAGUAACGGAGGCGUCCAAUGCUCACCUCAGGCUGGUUGGAAACUAGCUUUAAGAGUACAAAGGCAGAAGGUGGGUUUACUGCGAGACAAACAAGUCGAGCAGUUGCGAAAGCAGGGCUUAGUGACCCUUUGGCGGUGUAUGGGUGCGCCAAAGAUCAUCGGAUAUAAGCUACCCCGGGGAUAACAGGCUUAUCUUGCCCAAGCGCUCACAGCGACGGCAAGGUUUGGCACCUCGAUGUCGGCUCGUCGCAUCCUGGGGCUGUAUUCGGUCCCAAGGGUUGGGCUGUUCUCCCAUUAAAGCGGUACGCGAGCUGGGUUCAGAACGUCGUGAGACAGUUCGGUCCCUAUCCGCGGCGGGCGAAGAAGUUUUGAGAGGGGCUGACCCUAGUACGAGAGGACCGGGUUGGACGGACCGCUGGUGUACCAAUUGUGCCGCCAGGCGCAGACGUUGGGUAGCUAUGUCCGGGAGCGAUAAACGCUGAAAGCAUAUAAGCGUGAAGCGCGCCUCAAGAUGAGAACUUCCAUAGCAUAAGCUAGUAAGGUCCCCGGAAGACUACCGGGUUGAUAGGCGGGAUGUGUAAGCACAGUAAUGUGUUGAGCUGACCCGUACUAAGUGACCGAGGGUUUUAA
This 657-nucleotide ribosomal RNA is filed under the name Chthonomonadaceae bacterium. RNAcentral describes it as "partial 23S ribosomal RNA". It matches the Rfam family "Bacterial large subunit ribosomal RNA", at positions 2268 to 2925 of the family's 2925-position model. Lineage: Bacteria; Bacillati; Armatimonadota; Chthonomonadia; Chthonomonadales; Chthonomonadaceae. The record is from RNAcentral.